This 173-nucleotide ribosomal RNA is filed under the name Fervidobacterium pennivorans. Its description in RNAcentral is "partial 23S ribosomal RNA". Lineage: Bacteria; Thermotogati; Thermotogota; Thermotogae; Thermotogales; Fervidobacteriaceae. The record is from RNAcentral.
CGUAUUUGUCAUGACCGUUUUUGUAUAAGCUGGUGGAACCGCAUUUUGGACAAGAGAGCGUUGAGUUGUUCAUAUCGGGAUACCUCCUUUGUCGAGAGUUGGUUGGGGGGUGUCCCCUCUUUAAAGGAUAAUGCGGUUUUUGGAAAGUUUCAAUACUUUUAGUUAACAUUAUC